Molecule: ribosomal RNA, 253 nt
Filed under: uncultured bacterium
Lineage: Bacteria
Description: partial 16S ribosomal RNA
Rfam family: Bacterial small subunit ribosomal RNA
Source: RNAcentral
UACGUAGGGUGCGAGCGUUAAUCGGAAUUACUGGGCGUAAAGCGUGCGCAGGCGGUUUUAUAAGCCAGAUGUGAAAGCCCCGGGCUCAACCUGGGAAUGGCAUUUGGGACUGUAAGGCUGGAGUAUGGCAGGGGAGACUAGAAUUCCUGGUGUAGCAGUGAAAUGCGUAGAUAUCAGGAGGAAUACCGAUGGCGAAGGCAGGUCUCUGGGCCAAUACUGACGCUCAUGCACGAAAGCGUGGGGAGCAAACAGG